AGUUACGGUAUACCUACGAAGAGAAAAGAAAAGUAUAAAACCCACAGAUAAGAAUAUUGUAUAAAAAAGGUCAAUUGACUAAAUCAAUGCAUCACUUGAAGCCUUAUUGUGCUAGUUAUCAUAAUGGGCUUCGUAAAAUGGUUUAAGGCCCUUGAGCUGUGGGUACAGAUACUUUUUGGUGUGCUGGUAGUAGGACUCAUCGUUACCUGCAUCACGGUGCCAAUCGUCGUGACGAAUAACAAUAAAAAUUCGGCUACAGAUGACACAACCACGACCGUCGAGUCCGUGACCGUGACAGAUUCUACUACGAACACGGGCCUCACAACAGAUCCUACAACGGAUCCUGCAACGGAUCCAGCGAAAUCAACUGAUUACACAACAAGUUUUUUGUCGACGCCGACAGAACCGACGACAGAUAUUACAAUAAUUUCUUCGACGGAAACAGCACCUACGGAAUCGGGGAGCACAACAACUGGGGACUCGGAAAUGGACAACGAAAUAUUAUGGAAAGCUCUCAAGAUUACCAAUAAAUUGAAUUUGAGACAGAGAACAUGAAAUCCUUCUUUGAUUGGUCCAAUUAAAUCCGUAAAAUAGUUUAGACAUAUUCAGUAGCGCAUUUUAAAAGUUUCAGUAAAAUGUACCACUUUAGAAAUUGAAACUUGAAUUCGAUUUAUGCCAUAUAAAAAUUUUCAAUCAUUUAACAAAUGUAUAAUUUCAAGAUGAUUUGUGUUGAAACCAUAAUUGAAAUCGGAUAAAUGAUACAUAAUAUGACUCAAAUUACAGAUUUCCAAUACAUGAAUAACUAACUUCAA
Long non-coding RNA from Daphnia pulex (common water flea), 812 nucleotides. RefSeq lists it as uncharacterized. The transcript has 2 exons. NCBI's taxonomy places the organism in Eukaryota, Metazoa, Arthropoda, Branchiopoda, Diplostraca, Daphniidae. The record is from RefSeq and is a predicted model, not a curated record.